GUUGAGAAGCGCAGGGGGCGGUGUGCAAAGGAAGGCGGCGCGCGUCAGCCGUCACCCAAUACCGCGCACCCCGAGCGGCAGACCCGCCUCCGACAGGAGCACUAGGUCGACUGCUCGGUGCCAUAGUUGGGUCAAGGUUGACACUGUAGGCGACAAACGUCUCCCUGGGCGCCCCAAAGCUGACACCCGAAAAUCCCUGCGGUUUUUCUACCCUGGAUACCGCCGAUCCCCUUGCGCUCACCCGUUUCUCCCCGGGGCCUGACCCGGCCCGCUGGCCCCGCCCAUUCGCAAUGGCGCUCUCGGCACAACCAUGCUAGCCAGCAACGCCCCGGAAUCUCCCUCCGCCGACGCCCCGCACCCGAGCCCAGAGGGAGACGGCCUUCGCCUGCCACCCACGACAGCUGUCCCGCCACCGGGAGCAGGGCCUGGGAGGGCUUGAGUACCCUAGUCCCUGAGUCCAGGAUCAGGGCGGAGGACCAGAAACUCGGACUCCGUGGACUCAGCUUGCUGGACAGAAAGUGACUUAAAUUCCGGGGCUGGCGCUUUCCAGGAUCCUCCAAUCCGGGCACCCUGUGCCAGGUACUGUGCGGAGGAGGGGGAGGGAAGAGGGGUUUCCCCAAUUUACGAUGAGGAACUUGGGGCUCAGACAGGGACAGAACUUGUCUAAUUGCACCCAGCAGUUGGUGACAGAGGCACGAUUCCACCCCAAUUCCACAAAGGCCUGAGGUACUUACCCUGUAUCUGUACUGGAGAAGUCAGUCUCUGGGGCUCAGAAACAUAAACAGCCAAGGGAGAAUGAGGUCCCCGGAACUCCACGAUGGCGAGGCUCACCUCAGCAGCAGCAGGGCCCACUCCUCCCGACCGGGGAAACGGAUUUGCUGAGCAUCGCCCUGGGAGAGCUGUGCAGUGAGGCCAAGCUCGCAGGCACAGAGAAAGCUGCCUUGAGUGGAGCCAGACAGGAGAGAGGUGGACAGAGGGUAGGCACUGGAAACUCACCUGUUAGGUCCAUGGCGUCGUCAGAUGUGAAGAAUAAAGCCAUAGAGAGGACACCUCUCUCUCUUGCUGUGGCCACCAGUGAAGAUGGUCACACGGGUCAGCUGCAGCCAGCAGGGGAAGCCCCGAUUCCAGGGUAAGCGACCAUGUUAGAAAGUGAGAGGGCAGCGAGGGGAAGGGUCCUCCCACCCAAAGAGGGCCUGACCCCUUGACAGCCAAGCCAAGCCAGAGACCCAGAGCCCAGGGUCCUUGAGACGCAUGGGCACUGGAGAGGAGGCUCCCGUUGCUCCAGCCCCUCCCUGACACCAAACACCAAUAAAAAUGCUGGGUCUGUUGGGAGGUAGAGGGGAGCCGAUCUGGCCCGUGCAAGCACCCGUCUGACACUCCUCCACCCACAAUGGGAUGGGGCCAGACCCAGGCCUGUCAGAGCAGCUGCAGGGCCCAUGGGUGGCAGCCUUCUUGAGGGACUGAUGGGCCAAAACACGGGCACCCCCUCCACCCUCAGGGUCUUCAGUCAAAGGGCAUGGUGGCAGCUUGACCUGUGUGCAAAGGAGCUGGGGCCUGGAGUGGUAGGCGGUGGUGUGGUGGCUGCCCUGGUGCACUGGACACUCCCUGGGCACGGGAGCAGGGGCUGUGCAGAGGCCUGGAGCUGGGCUCUAGCCCUGGAGCCCACAACCGUGGGUGGCCAGACCUGCUCCGGCCAUCCGGGCUCCACAUGCCAGCUGUAGGGCAGUGGCACUGCCCCUCUGCUCGAAAACCUGUUCUUAAAACUGACUCCCCCUUAGAUGGAGGUUGCAAUGAGCAAAGAUGCACCACCACUGCACUCCAGCCUGGGUGACAGUAAGACUCUACCUCAAAAAACAAAACCAAAAAACCUGACUCCCCCUAAUAAAAACAUUCCAGUACCCUCUACAAGAUCUUCAGUAGCUAUCCAGCACCCUUCACUCCCACCAGGGGCUCUGUCCCCAGGGGACACACCAGGCUCACUACUGCCGCAUGGAGCACUCUGAGGCCAGCUCCUCCUCAGCCUUCAGGGCUGUUUAAGCCGCAGGCUCUCCCUGCCGCCCAGUUCACUGAGUCCCUUUUAAGGUUUCGUCUCACCACCACCCUUUCUUCCUAAUAGCAUCCAAACCUGGCAAGGUUCUGAUUAGCAGCUGGGUGUCUCACUGCCUGGAAUGCAGGCGCUUGGGGUCCGGGCCUCAGCUGUUCUGCUGCCACUGGAACACACCAGGUGCUCAGCAAGAUGGGAACAGGAGCAACAACUCUCACACCUGCAGGCCCCGGGCUACCACACCACCUGUUCAGGAGACAGCCCUAUCUGGAGGGUAUGGCUUCCCUCUAACCAGAGGAAAGCCGAGACAGGGCUGGCUGAGAGCCAGCGUUCUCAGCCCUCACCUUGCUGACUGCCCUGACACCGGAGGGAAGCCAGGCAGAGGCCAUGAAGCUGCCAGGCUGUUGGAGCCAACCCAACCACCCAGUGGCCCAACUCCGGGUCAGGAAACAGCCACUGUCCUGAGGGCUGUGCCCAGAGGAAGGAACAGACAGUAUAUUGCUGCGUGAUUUUAUUACUAUAAAUAUACAGUAAAAACAAACGGGCCCAUCUGAGCACAUCAAAUGGCA
Long non-coding RNA from Cebus imitator (Panamanian white-faced capuchin), 2613 nucleotides. RefSeq lists it as uncharacterized. Lineage: Eukaryota; Metazoa; Chordata; Mammalia; Primates; Cebidae. The transcript has 2 exons. The record is from RefSeq and is a predicted model, not a curated record.